UUAAAUUUGUUAUUUUUCAUAGUUCAUAAUUCAAUAAUCACCAUAAAAUUCGAUGGUAGCAAAUGAAUUCAGAAUGCUGUUGGUUUCUGUAUCAGGGUAUGGGGCCUCUAUCCCACAAUUAUCUUCUCAGAGUAGCGCACCUCAGUAAUCCUCUUAUGGUGGAUAUCAGGGUACAAGCAAAAAGAUUGAAAAUCUAAAUGGAAGGGUAAGCUUUUUGUUCAUUCUGUUUUCUGUCACUGAAUUUAGAAAGUGCAUCCAGAAGUGUGAUGUUUGUAUUCUCUUUAACUGACACUGUUGUCAACUUGCUGUAGGUUGGUGUUAUCAUUGGAAAAGCUGGGGAAACUAUUAGGUAUAUCCAACUUCAAUCAGGAUCAAAGAUUCAAGUCACAAGAGACCAUGAAGCUGAACCUGGUGCACUGACAAGGCAAGUUGAGCUUUCUGGCAAACCUGAGCAGAUAAGCAAAGCUGAACAGUUGAUCAAAGAAGUUCUGGCAGAGGUAUUACUCAUUAUGCUCACAGCCUUUUGUUUUGUUCUGCAUUUUUCAUCUAUGUUACAAUGUUUGAUCUUGCAUCUUAGGCCGAUGUUGGGUCAUCCGGUGUUGGAUCUGGAGGCCGGAAAUACAAUGCAACACAGCAAGGUGCUGAGACGUUCCAGAUGAAAAUUGCUAAUAACAAGGUGGGACUGAUUAUUGGGAAGGGUGGUGAGACUAUAAAGUCCAUGCAGACCAAUUCUGGAGCCCGUAUUCAGGUUUGCUAUCUUGUUAUAUAGCUUCCUGUUUUACCUUAGCUGCAAUCAGAAGUAAGGUUACACUAAGUUCACUUGUGGCCGUUUGUCUGCUUGUUUUUGCUUUGCCUUGAAAAUAUCACUUCUAAAUGAUUGAUAUUUUGUCACAUAGAGUUUAUCAUUCAUAUUUUGCUGUAAACGCUCCAUUUGGUCCAAGCUGUUCGUUUAUUCUCACAUCAUUUGGUCCAAGUUGUCCAUUUAGUCGAAUGAGAAAAAUGAAACAAAAGUAGGAUUUCUAUUUUUUUGAUAGUGACUAACACACUUAGAAAAUGCUAUAUGUUUGCAGUAGGUGGUACAUGCUAUUUAUGCAAACGAAAGUUCCUUUUUAGGAUUGUUAAACAUAAUUUUGGAGUUUGGGAUUUCCUUUGGGUAUCUUUUGUGUAGCAUUCAUAUAAUUAGUAAAGGUAUAUAAUUAGUAAAGGUAUAUGCUGCACUACAUUUUAUCUAUAAUUCUUUAUUUGGAGUUAUUGUUUGCACGACUAUCCCUCUCUCACGGAUAAAGAUGUCAGGAUCAUUGCUUCAAACUGCGCUGCAUUAGAAAAUCUCAUUAUGUUACAGUCUUCAAUCAGUGAUGGUGGUCUUUCUCAGGAUGCUAAGCAAUGCAGGAACCUGAAGUUCCUCCA
Zea mays is the source of this 1407-nucleotide long non-coding RNA. RefSeq lists it as uncharacterized. The record is from RefSeq and is a predicted model, not a curated record. Lineage: Eukaryota; Viridiplantae; Streptophyta; Magnoliopsida; Poales; Poaceae. The transcript has 2 exons.